This 970-nucleotide ribosomal RNA is filed under the name Limosilactobacillus fermentum. Its description in RNAcentral is "bacterial SSU rRNA". It matches the Rfam family "Bacterial small subunit ribosomal RNA", at positions 507 to 1478 of the family's 1533-position model. Lineage: Bacteria; Bacillati; Bacillota; Bacilli; Lactobacillales; Lactobacillaceae. The record is from RNAcentral.
GCCAGCAGCCGCGGUAAUACGUAGGUGGCAAGCGUUAUCCGGAUUUAUUGGGCGUAAAGAGAGUGCAGGCGGUUUUCUAAGUCUGAUGUGAAAGCCUUCGGCUUAACCGGAGAAGUGCAUCGGAAACUGGAUAACUUGAGUGCAGAAGAGGGUAGUGGAACUCCAUGUGUAGCGGUGGAAUGCGUAGAUAUAUGGAAGAACACCAGUGGCGAAGGCGGCUGCCUGGUCUGCAACUGACGCUGAGACUCGAAAGCAUGGGUAGCGAACAGGAUUAGAUACCCUGGUAGUCCAUGCCGUAAACGAUGAAUGCUAAGUGUUGGAGGGUUUCCGCCCUUCAGUGCCGGAGCUAACGCAUUAAGCACUCCGCCUGGGGAGUACGACCGCAAGGUUGAAACUCAAAGGAAUUGACGGGGGCCCGCACAAGCGGUGGAGCAUGUGGUUUAAUUCGAAGCUACGCGAAGAACCUUACCAGGUCUUGACAUCUUGCGCCAAUCUUAGAGAUAGGGCGUUUCCUUCGGGAACACAAAGACAGGUGGUGCAUGGUCGUCGUCAGCUCGUGUCGUGAGAUGUUGGGUUAAGUCCCGCAACGAGCGCAACCCUUAUUAUUAGUUGCCAGCAUUAAGUUGGGCACUCUAGUGAGACUGCCGGUGACAAACCGGAGGAAGGUGGGGAUGACGUCAAAUCAUCAUGCCCCUUAUGACCUGGGCUACACACGUGCUACAAUGGACGGUACAACGAGUCGCGAACUCGCGAGAGUAAGCAAAUCUCUUAAAACCGUUCUCAGUUCGGACUGCAGGCUGCAACUCGCCUGCAUGAAGUCGGAAUCGCUAGUAAUCGCGGAUCAGCAUGCCGCGGUGAAUACGUUCCCGGGCCUUGUACACACCGCCCGUCACACCAUGAGAGUUUGUAACACCCAAAGUCGGUGGGGUAUACCUUUUAGGAGCCAGCCGCCUAAGGUGGACAUAGUUGG